GACGAACGCUGGCGGCGUGCCUAAUACAUGCAAGUCGAACGCAGUGGGGACGGGUGAGUAACACUUGGUUAACCUCCCGUCAGAGUGGAGAACACUUGGAAACAGGUGCUAAACCCAUCUGAUGGAUGGCCCCGCGUUGCAUUAGCUAGUUGGUGAGGUAACGGCUCACCAAGGCAACGAUGCAUAGCCGGCCUGAGAGGGGGAUCGGCCACACUGGGAAUGAGCCACGGCCCCGACCCCUACGGGAGGCAGAAGUAGGGAAUCUUCGGCAAUGGACGAAAGUCUGACCGAGCAACCGCGCGGGAGUGAAGAAGGUUUUGGGAUCCGAAAACUCUGUUGUUAGAGAAACGGUAUCUAAACAGAAAGCCACGGCUAACUACGGGCCAGCAGCCGCGGUAAUUC
RNAcentral lists this ribosomal RNA (402 nucleotides) under uncultured bacterium. Its description in RNAcentral is "partial 16S ribosomal RNA". It matches the Rfam family "Bacterial small subunit ribosomal RNA", at positions 28 to 526 of the family's 1533-position model. The record is from RNAcentral.